UGAACUUUAAAAUGCAAGUUCACAGUUCUUUAAGAGACUAACACAGAAAGCUAAAGUAAUUAUCCAUAGAACCCGGAGACGAGAUUGUAAAACUCUGUAGAUCCUGUCUGGAGUCACAGCU
This is a small nucleolar RNA of Papio anubis (olive baboon), 121 nucleotides long. The record is from Ensembl. NCBI's taxonomy places the organism in Eukaryota, Metazoa, Chordata, Mammalia, Primates, Cercopithecidae.